GAUCUUUAAAUUUGGAAGUUUUUUGCUUAAACAAUAAGUGUUCUUUUGAACUAUGGACAUAAACGCGCUCAUAAUAAGCGGAUCGGACCAGGGGGCGGUACCCUGCGGCUCCACCAAACUUUUUCUUUGGGGCCGAAAUAGGAUCGACGGACGUCUAAAAGGGUUAGCUUUGUUUCGGCGGGAAGCCACCGUUAUCGGCGCAAUAUGUACAAUUGCAAAUGACAAUCGUGCUCCAGUAGCAAUGGCCGCGUAAGCAGUCGGAGAUACUGAAAUCUAAGUCCAGGCCUCUUGCUAGGUUUGGCGGGGUUCGUAGGCACCUGGCAACAGAAGCCUACACC
RNAcentral lists this transfer-messenger RNA (338 nucleotides) under Paracoccaceae bacterium. It matches the Rfam family "Alphaproteobacteria transfer-messenger RNA". Rfam says of the family: Bacterial tmRNA, also known as 10Sa RNA or SsrA, is named for its dual tRNA and mRNA-like properties. Its role is to liberate the mRNA from a stalled ribosome. The record is from RNAcentral. Lineage: Bacteria; Pseudomonadati; Pseudomonadota; Alphaproteobacteria; Rhodobacterales; Paracoccaceae.